This 1214-nucleotide ribosomal RNA is filed under the name uncultured bacterium. RNAcentral's name for it is "bacterial SSU rRNA". It matches the Rfam family "Bacterial small subunit ribosomal RNA", at positions 43 to 1254 of the family's 1533-position model. The record is from RNAcentral.
CAGGCCUAACACAUGCAAGUCGAGGGGCAGCGGGUUAUUUAUUUAGGUACUCCUGCCGGCGACCGGCGCACGGGUGCGUAACGCGUAUGCACCUACCCAUAACAGGGGGAUAAUCUGAAGAAAUUUGGUCUAACACCCCAUAACAUCUUUAUGGCAUCUUUGAUGGUUGAAAUAUCCGAUAGGUUAUGAUGGGCAUGCGUGACAUUAGUUAGAUGGUGAGGUAACGGCUCACCAUGGCUAUGAUGUCUAGGGGGACUGAGAGGUUAUCCCCCACACUGGUACUGAGACACGGACCAGACUCCUACGGGAGGCAGCAGUGAGGAAUAUUGGUCAAUGGACGAAAGUCUGAACCAGCCAUGCCGCGUGCAGGAUGACGGCUCUAUGAGUUGUAAACUGCUUUUGUAAGAGGGUGAAAGUUGGUACGUGUACCAAUUUGCAAGUACUUUACGAAUAAGGAUCGGCUAACUCCGUGCCAGCAGCCGCGGUAAUACGGAGGACCCAAGCGUUAUCCGGAUUUAUUGGGUUUAAAGGGUGCGUAGGCGGACUAAUAAGUCAGAGGUUAAAGUGCGAUGCUCAACUCGACAACUGCCAUUGAAACUAGAAAUGUAAAGAAUAGUUGCAGCAGGCGGAAUGUGUAGUGUAGCGGUGAAAUGCUUAGAUAUUACACAGAACACCGAUUGCGAAGGCAGCUUGCUAAGCCAUUACUGACGCUGAUGCACGAAAGCGUGGGGAGCAAACAGGAUUAGAUACCCUGGUAGUCCACGCCGUAAACGAUGAUAACUCGUUGCAGGCGAUACACGGUCUGUGACUAAGCGAAAGCGUUAAGUUAUCCACCUGGGGAGUACGACCGCAAGGUUGAAACUCAAAGGAAUUGACGGGGGCCCGCACAAGCGGAGGAACAUGUGGUUUAAUUCGAUGAUACGCGAGGAACCUUACCCGGGCUUGAAAGUUAGCGACCGACCCAGAAACGGGUCUUCUCUUCGGGGCGCGAAACUAGGUGCUGCAUGGUUGUCGUCAGCUCGUGCCGUGAGGUGUCGGGUUAAGUCCCAUAACGAGCGCAACCCCUACUGAUAGUUGCCAGCGAGUAAUGUCGGGGACUCUAUCGGGACUGCCAGUGUAAACUGCGAGGAAGGUGGGGAUGACGUCAAAUCAGCACGGCCCUUACGUCCGGGGCUACACACGUGUUACAAUGGUCAGUACAGCGGGUAGCUACC